This 312-nucleotide long non-coding RNA is filed under the name Vicia faba (fava bean). The record is from RNAcentral. Lineage: Eukaryota; Viridiplantae; Streptophyta; Magnoliopsida; Fabales; Fabaceae.
AUGGAUUUGUUGGCAUCAUUGAUAGAGAACAAACCAGUGGUGAUCUUCAGCAAAAGCACUUGUUGCAUGAGUCACACAGUGAAAGCACUUAUAAGCAGUUUUAAAGCCAACCCUAUAGUUAUUGAGAUUGAUAAAAUGGCAAAUGGACAUCAAAUAGAGAGAGCACUGAUUCAGCUUGGCUGUAGACCAAAUGUACCUGCAGUAUUCAUAGGACAACAAUUCAUAGGUAGUACUGAUGAAGUUAUAAGCCUCAAUGUUCAAAACAAGCUUGCUCCAUUGCUUUUGAAGGCUAGAGCUAUAUUUAUUUGGUAG